RNAcentral lists this long non-coding RNA (340 nucleotides) under Bos taurus (domestic cattle). RNAcentral's name for it is "long non-coding RNA NONBTAT015261". Lineage: Eukaryota; Metazoa; Chordata; Mammalia; Artiodactyla; Bovidae. The record is from RNAcentral.
UUGGCCUCACUUUCAUUAUCUGAUGUUCCUUAUCUAGUAAUUUCUAGUGUAAAUUUCUCACAUAAAUGAAAUCAAUUUCCUCAAAGUCUGUUAGAACAAAUUCAUUUCCACUUCAGAAUCUUUGUUUAGGUUUCUUUCCCCCCUGGAUACCAAAGCCACCACCUCGACUAGUUCAAAUCCUUCAUGUAUUCCUGUAGCACGGAAGUCCUGCCAUCUCAAAUAGUUUUCUCUAAAAAAUACUGAUGAUGACAAAUUCUAUGUUGAAUAGACUGAUCAUAGGAUACCUGGAUUGUUUCAAAUUUACUUGUGUUUUCUCCCCUGCCAGAAUGUAAAGUUCCUG